RNAcentral lists this ribosomal RNA (298 nucleotides) under uncultured bacterium. RNAcentral describes it as "partial 16S ribosomal RNA". It matches the Rfam family "Archaeal small subunit ribosomal RNA", at positions 745 to 1043 of the family's 1478-position model. The record is from RNAcentral.
UCCUGGCUGUAAACGAUGCCCACUUGGUGUGUCACUCCUCUCGGGGAGUGACGUGCCGUAGCGAAGGUGUUAAGUGGGCCACCUGGGGAGUACGGUCGCAAGGCUGAAACUUAAGGGAAUUGGCGGGGGAGCACCUCAAGGAGUGGAGGCUGCGGUUCAAUUGGAUUCAACGCCAGACAUCUCACCAGAGGAGACAGCAGAAUGAGGGUCACUCUGAAGGGGUUACCUGACAAGCUGAGAGGAGCUGCAUGGCCAUCGUCAGCUCGUGCUGUGAAGCGUGCGGUUAAGUCCGUUAACG